This 322-nucleotide ribosomal RNA is filed under the name uncultured eukaryote. Its description in RNAcentral is "partial 18S ribosomal RNA". It matches the Rfam family "Eukaryotic small subunit ribosomal RNA", at positions 1470 to 1796 of the family's 1831-position model. The record is from RNAcentral.
CCCUUAGAUGUUCUGGGCCGCACGCGUGCUACACUGAGUGGAUCAGCGGGUCAGGUUGCGCGAAAGUGUUUCCUAAUCUUUAAAUCCGCUCGUGAUGGGGAUUGACGGUUGCAAUUUUCCGUCAUGAACGAGGAAUACCUUGUAAGCGCGGGUCAUCAUCCCGCGCUGAAUACGUCCCUGCCCUUUGUACACACCGCCCGUCGCUCCUACCGAUUGAGUGGUCCGGUGAGGCUUUGGGAUCUGAGCGGAAAGAGCGUUUCGCUGUUUCUGCCCGGAAAACUCAGUCGAACCUUAUCAUUUAGAGGAAGGAGAAAUCGUAACA